RNAcentral lists this ribosomal RNA (370 nucleotides) under uncultured bacterium. RNAcentral's name for it is "bacterial SSU rRNA". It matches the Rfam family "Bacterial small subunit ribosomal RNA", at positions 335 to 698 of the family's 1533-position model. The record is from RNAcentral.
ACUCCUACGGGAGGCAUCAGUCGAGAAUUUUUCUCAAUGGGGGAAACCCUGAAGGAGCGACGCCGCGUGGAGGAUGAAGGUCUUCGGAUUGUAAACUCCUGUCAUUGGGGAACAAGGUGCAUACGUUAACUGCGUGUGCAUUGAUAGUACCCGAAGAGGAAGAGACGGCUAACUCUGUGCCAGCAGCCGCGGUAAUACAGAGGUCUCAAGCGUUGUUCGGAUUCAUUGGGCGUAAAGGGUGCGUAGGCGGCGCGGUAAGUCGGGUGUGAAAUCUCGGAGCUUAACUCCGAAACUGCACUCGAUACUGCCGUGCUUGAGGACUGGAGAGGAGACUGGAAUUUACGGUGUAGCGGUGAAAUGCGUAGAGAUC